CCUACGGGAGGCAGCAGUGAGGAAUAUUGGUCAAUGGCCGGAAGGCUGAACCAGCCAUGCCGCGUGAAGGUCAGUGCCCUAUGGGCGUUAAACUUCUUUUGUGCGGGAGCAAUAAUGGUCACGUGUGGCCAGACGAGAGUACCGUACGAAUAAGCAUCGGCUAACUCCGUGCCAGCAGCCGCGGCAAUACGGGGGAUGCAAGCGUUAUCCGGAUUUAUUGGGAUUAAAGGGUGCGUAGGCUGUGAGGUAAGUCAGCGGUGAAAUGCCCCCGCUCAACGGGGUGAAGUGCCAUUGAUACUGCCUGGCUUGAAUGCGGAUGCCGUGGGAAGAAUGUGUGGUGUAGCGGUGAAAUGCAUAGAGAUCACACAGAACACCGAUUGCGAAGGCAUCUCACGAAUCCGCGAUUGACGCUGAUGCACGAAAGCGUGGGUAUCAAACAGGAUUAGAUACCCGAGUAGUC
This 460-nucleotide ribosomal RNA is filed under the name uncultured bacterium. RNAcentral's name for it is "partial 16S ribosomal RNA". It matches the Rfam family "Bacterial small subunit ribosomal RNA", at positions 338 to 795 of the family's 1533-position model. The record is from RNAcentral.